UACAGAGGGUGCGAACGUUGCUCGGAAUUACUGGGCGUAAAGCGCGUGUAGGCGGUCCGUUAAGUUGGUAGUGAAAUCCCAUGGCUCAACCAUGGGAGUGCUGCCAAAACUGGCGGGCUGGAGUGCCGGAGAGGGUGGCGGAAUUCCCAGUGUAGAGGUGAAAUUCGUAGAUAUUGGGAGGAACACCGGUGGCGAAGGCGGCCACCUGGACGGUAACUGACGCUAAGACGCGAAAGCGUGGGGAGCAAACAGG
RNAcentral lists this ribosomal RNA (253 nucleotides) under uncultured bacterium. RNAcentral's name for it is "partial 16S ribosomal RNA". It matches the Rfam family "Bacterial small subunit ribosomal RNA", at positions 524 to 776 of the family's 1533-position model. The record is from RNAcentral.